GACGAACGCUGGCGGCGUGCUUAACACAUGCAAGUCGAACGUGAUUUUUGUGGAAAUUCUUUCGGGAAUGGAAAUGAAAUGAAAGUGGCGAACGGGUGAGUAACACGUGAGCAACCUACCUUACACAGGGGGAUAGCCGUUGGAAACGACGAUUAAUACCGCAUGAGACCACAGAAUCGCAUGAUAUAGGGGUCAAAGAUUUAUCGGUGUAAGAAGGGCUCGCGUCUGAUUAGCUAGUUGGAAGGGUAAAGGCCUACCAAGGCGACGAUCAGUAGCCGGUCUGAGAGGAUGAACGGCCACAUUGGAACUGAGACACGGUCCAAACUCCUACGGGAGGCAGCAGUGGGGAAUAUUGCACAAUGGGGGGAACCCUGAUGCAGCGACGCCGCGUGAGCGAAGAAGGUUUUCGAAUCGUAAAGCUCUGUCCUAUGAGAAGAUAAUGACGGUAUCAUAGGAGGAAG
This 461-nucleotide ribosomal RNA is filed under the name Parvimonas micra. RNAcentral describes it as "bacterial SSU rRNA". It matches the Rfam family "Bacterial small subunit ribosomal RNA", at positions 28 to 490 of the family's 1533-position model. The record is from RNAcentral. Lineage: Bacteria; Bacillati; Bacillota; Tissierellia; Tissierellales; Peptoniphilaceae.